Molecule: small nuclear RNA, 195 nt
Organism: Coffea arabica (coffee)
Lineage: Eukaryota; Viridiplantae; Streptophyta; Magnoliopsida; Gentianales; Rubiaceae
Product: U2 spliceosomal RNA
Source: RefSeq, a predicted model, not a curated record
AUACCUUUCUCGGCCUUUUGGCUAAGAUCAAGUGUAGUAUCUGUUCUUAUCAGUUUAAUAUCUGAUACGUGGGCCAUCGGCCCACACGAUAUUAACUCAAUUUUUUAAGGGGAGGGGCCAUCACGGUAGCUUGCUAUCGGGCCUCUCGCGCGUCGCCUUGGCGUUACACUACUGCCUUGGCCAGGCGCACCCCAC